GCAGACACAUUCCAGCCAAUCAGCAACAGACCCUCGCUCCCAGACCCUCCCACCUCCUGGACAGCAUCCAUUGUGUAGCUGCAUUCUUAGUGAGCUGUCCAGGAGGUGGGAGGGUCUGGGAGGGAGGGUCUGCUGCUGAUUGGCUGGAAUGUGUCUG
RNAcentral lists this microRNA precursor (157 nucleotides) under Pelobates cultripes (western spadefoot toad). The record is from RNAcentral. Lineage: Eukaryota; Metazoa; Chordata; Amphibia; Anura; Pelobatidae.